Long non-coding RNA from Triticum urartu, 4288 nucleotides. RefSeq lists it as uncharacterized. Lineage: Eukaryota; Viridiplantae; Streptophyta; Magnoliopsida; Poales; Poaceae. The record is from RefSeq and is a predicted model, not a curated record.
GACUCGCGGGUGUGAACAAACCAUUCCUUGCGCGCCGCGCGUCUAGCGGCUGGCGUGGGCGUCUGCAGCACCCAUUGGACACAAACCCCGAAACCCUAGACUCCAAUCCUCGUUCGCCGCAUCCCUCGCUACCUCGUCCGCCGCCGCACCCUCUUUCCCCUCCUCUCUCUUCAGCGUCCUUCCUCUUUUUCCUUCCGGGUCUCUCUUGCCCGCUCCUUGUUGUUGCUGUGCCGGGGAACCACCACGGCCGCACCGCCGGAUGAAGCCACCAUCCGCGGCGCUGUUCCGUUGCCUUGGAUCCGUGCAGGGGGCCUCCCCGGGGUAGCAGAGGAGGGAGUUGGACGAGGAGGCGCGAGGCGAGCAGGAAGUUGGGGUCGCCGGAGGAGCACAGCCGCACGGGGGCUGGUCUUCGCCAGGGCAGAGUGAAGGAGGUAGAUGUAGGGGGACGCAACUCGGCUCCCAAGCAGAGGAUGCAGCAUCGCCGGCUCCUCUCCCCAUGUCGCCGCUGUCCUACGUCUUCGCUGCCGCCACGGCCUUGCUCGCCACUGACCUCCCGAGUGCUUCUCUCCCCUGCAUUCCCCUUUCCACGAAUUCUUGCCUUCAACGCUAAGUUUAUUCUUCCUGCUGCUAAGUCUUAGUCCUCACGGCGGGGUGGAGGAGCAGGGACGGUCUGUAGGCUGGCGGCAGGGGGGUGGAGCAACGAUGUCGAAGCUUUAGGCGGCGCAUGCAUGGCAGGGUGGAGGAGAGGUCUGUGUGAGGCUGCAAGAGGGGCUUGAUUGUGGGAUUUUAUCUCCCCAUGUCAAGCACGCCGGUGAAGACGGAAGGAAGCCAUGGGAGGCGGGAGCUCCUCUCUGCCUUGGAGCAGAAUCCUGGCGGAUGGGUUUUGGUUCAGACAGAAGAGCUCCAGGCUUUGGAACUUUUUGGGAUAACUAAGUUGGUCGAUGUCACUCGAGAAAAUGGAAAAGGAGAAGAAAAUCGUCAUUAAAUUUAUGAUUGGGCGUAGGUCCAUGGACAUUGUCAGAACUUUAUUCCAGUAUAUUGUUUCCAGAUCUCAUGUUUAUUCAAGUCACCAAGGUUGGAGACACUGGCGUGAAGAUGUCGUGAGUUAUCUGUAAGGGCAUUGUGGUGGCGUGCUCCUCCAUUUCUCCUGCGAGUUCUUGGUGUGGCAGUCAUGGCCCCAUAAGCAGCGCUUCAAGGUGGCUGCAGGUAAAGUUGUCAAGUCGAUCUGGUGCUUGCUCGAGCCGUUGAUUACUGCUGCUUUGCUAAGGUUCAAGGUCUUACUUCAGUAGAAAUUUAUUCCAAUGCUUGCUCAAUCCUUUUUCCAUGAUGACUACCAGAGGAACCUUCGAUGUGUACAGAUGGUAAUGGAUAUGGGGACUGACAAGAACUAGCGAACUUGAUAUCAGAUGCCCUGAACUAUCAAUUCUUUAAUUAUUGGAGGCUUUUGUAUUGAUAUAUCAAUACAAGGUGGGAUAAGAUGCAGGUGAAUGCCUUUAUUUUGUUUCUUUACGAUCUUCUCCUCUAUUUGAUGAUAGAUGCAAAAAAAUAUCGUGUGGCACUGGCUUUCUAAUUACAUACUCCCCCCGUAAAGAAAUAUAAGAGCAUUUGGAUUCAAACGCUCUUAUAUUUCUUUACAGAGGAGUACAAACUAAAUGUGGAGAAGUACUCCCUCUGUCUCAAAAUUCUUGUCUUAGAUUUGUCUAGAUACGGAUGUAUCUAACACUAAAACGUAACUAGAUACAUCCGUAUUUAGACAAAUAUAAGACAAGAAUUUUGGGACGGAGGGAGUAUAUAUGUUUAUUAUCUGGUAAGUGAACUGAAUCACCUUGGUAUAGAAAUCCUAUCCGCUUUUGUCGGAGGCACUGUAAUAAUCUGAAGGAAGCCUUUUUUAUUUCCAAGUUGAUCAACUACACAACUUCUGAUCAUAAAUCCUUUCUUUAAGGGGGGCUGGUCAAUACAGGUCUAUAUUGUGUUAUCUUGCUAUUGGGCUCUUUUUUAUUUUCUUAAAACGGUCAGAUAUCACUCAUGUUUAAUUCGUGGUUGACUGCGUAUAUCCAAAAUAAUUAUGUUAGUACACUGACGUUAAUUUCUACAUUUUUACUAAAGUUGGCUAAAUAGUUUUUUGUGCUACUGAGAUAUAUAUGUGCUCUAAAUAGUUUUUUGUGCUACUCAGAAGUAAUUUAGUAUAGAUGUUUUGAUAGGAACUGGUUGUUUAACCCUCUCAUAUAGCCAGUUCGGAUUAGUGGUUCAGGUCACUCCUGUGUGUAUAGUUGAUAUCACAUAUGCUAAUGAUUCUGGUUGUAAGUUCAGAGGUAAUUUAUUAUACAUGUUUUGACAGGAAGUCGAAAGAAGUGCUAAUACCUUGUCAACUUUUGGUAAUUUUCCGUGUGAUUAAGCUUGUGCCUAGCUGACUUGUAAGGUUCCGCACAUUUAAGCCUGGUCAGGCUUUCCUCACACAUGUACUCUUAUUUGAUUGCACACUUCUUUUGGUUAUUAAUUUGUUACCAAGGAACCAUGGCACAGUAAUGUGCUUCAAGUUUUCCAUAUGAAUAAGAACUAUACUCUUUUUCUGCGAUUUUAAAGCAUUUCCAGACCUAUCAAGGCCAAGGUGCUAGCCAAUUUUAAUUUCUUUUUUAUGAGGAUGAAUCGACAAGUGUUCACGAAAGGGUGAAGGUGAAUAACAAGGGCACCGCUCUCUGCUGAUGCACACCCAUGGUUUGCUUGCCACGAUGCAACGGCAAGAUGUUCUCGAUAGUCGAACAAAAGAAGUGGAGCAAAUGGGUGAUGUAGGGUAGAACCCUAUGGCCCGAUCUUUCACGAUAGGAGCGGAAUCCCGCGAAGAACACGAAGAACACGAGGAGGAAACACGAGGGGAAAUCACAAAGGGGCACAAAGAGGAACACUCAAACCAACAAGAUAGUCACACAUGUGCUAGAUCCUCGAAUACAUAAGAGAAGAUACACGAUCCACGGACAACUAAGGACGAUACAAGGGUAGCCGGUCUUCUACGUGAGGAGGUCUUGAAUCCACGGGGGGAUCUUCCCUUAGAAAGGGGGCUUGAAUCCAAAGGGAUCUUCUCCGAAGAGGCCGCGGUCUCUCGCACGGAGGAGAUCCGAUAUGGAUGAGCAAUGCUCUAUCUCUCAAAUGAGCUAAACCAAUGCUAACCCUAGUACGGAGCUAAGGGACAAGUAUAUAUAGUCCAAGGGGUAAGUUGGGGGAUACAUGGGGUGAAACCCCUUUCACUGCGCACAGGCAGGGCGGUAGUACCGGUCAUGGGGGCGGUUGUACCGCUGGAUGCUCAGGUACGGGUUCCUGGAGGUGCUUCCGGAUGUGCUCAGCGGUUGUACCGGUGCUUGGGGCGGUUGUACCGGUCAGGUGGCUGUUACGGGGAUAAACCGGUGCUGCACCGGCCUUGCACCGCUCGAUCACAGAAGCUUGGCCGGUUGUUGGGCGGUGGUCGAGCGGUUGCACCGCUUGUGGGCCUUCAGCGGUAGUACUGCUUGGUGUGGGCGGUAGUACCGCUCGGGCUGUAGCAGCUGGCUCUCCUUCCCUUGCUCCCGCGCACACUUGGCCUUGGUCCUUAGGCUCUCCAUGGUCUCCUCGGAUGGACCUGAGUAUGCAUAAGGUCCGCGCUUGAGGUAGCAUCCAUGUCUUACAUGCGGAAAGGGAAGAUUCGGAAAGGAGCGAGUUCACCUUGUGUCCAAUGGUGUAUACUUGAGGUCUCAACAUGUGGGCACUAGGGGCUUGGGGAGAAGUCAUAGUGUACAUGGGGAUGAUCAUAGGAUGCUCCGCAUCAAUGGGUUUAACUUGUAUGCCCUAUUCCUGUUGUUAUAAGCAUUUAGUUUCCAUCCGCAAGACAAGUUUCUGCUUGUGUAACAACAAUACUGUCUGGGUCGUCAAGUUUCUAGCUAUCAUCUGUUCCAGGAUCAUCCUGACCAUUAGGUUCCUCGUGUUCUCCUUGGCGGUUCUGUAUGUUGUCUCAAGACGUAUUGGCCUGUUGACACUGCAAAGGAAGUUGGCUGAUGCAAUCAGAUCAAGCUCAGUAUCAGCUGGAGACAUCUUGGGUGAAGUGCAGGAGGGACCUUCCACAGCAAAUGCUCCUCCCAUCUGAUGAACUGUGAUUUUACUUCCAUCCAUUGUUUAUACAUACAUGAGCUUACAUCCAGAAGUAAGCUUACCUGUCAGUUAUUAUUUCGUAGUACAUGUUGUCUAAAGUCACAUUUGAUGAGUGUUGUUUUUAAGUACAGUACUAAAAGCUAUAUUCAGUUGGAUGAGGUGUACAACUAUA